CGUUUCUUUGUUUCACAGGGCUUUCCUUGCACCACUCGUUCUAAAGCUGGAUUCCAAAUCAAUCAUUACCAAGCAAGGAGCUUAAAGGUUAAAGCAAAGAUGGAUUCUGGUGAUGGGGAGACACAACUCGCUCCAGUUAAAUUCGAAACCCCAAGUGGUCAACUUCUGGCACAGAUACUGCAAUCGCAGCCUCACCUAAUCCCUGUAACAGUUGAUCAGCAACUUGAAAACCUGACAGCAGAGAAAAUUGCCCAAAAGGAAAAAGCCGCAAAAGUUCCCGAGGACCUCCUUUACAAGCGAAUUGCAGAAGUCAAAGAGAAGGAAAGGCAGAAUACCCUGGAAGAGAUCAUCUACUGCUGGAUUUUGUUCAAGUUCAUGGAAAAUGACAUACAAAUGACACCUGCAUUAUCAUCAUCAGGUGGCCCUGUACGCGACGUCUCCUCGUUGCCUAACCAGGAGUAUAAGCUGCAAAGCGUACACUCUCAAGAUGCUCUUGAGAUGAUACAGAACCAUCUCAACCUUAUCAUGGGGGAGCAGGCAGCAGCGCCACUAGAUACCGUUGUCGAGAUCAGCAACUUAAAUCUUGGGAAGCUCUACGCAGCAUCCAUCAUGUAUGGUUACUUCCUCAAGAGGGUGGACGAGCGAUUCCAACUCGAGAAAACCAUGAAGACGCUCCCACCAAGCCUCAACGAAAAACUAUUUACGGAGAGAGACAUUAAGCCUAAUCCGUUCAUGGACAUGGAGUCCCUGGUACGGAUGACGCCUGAUGGGGAGAUGGUUGAUGUGGAGGAGGACGAGGAAACAAACCCAAACAAGCUGAGGUCCUACGUUUCGCGGCUGGACGCCGAUACGUUGCAGCGGUACGCUACCAUUAGGUCCAAGGAAUCGGUCUCGCUGAUAGAGAAGCAAACGCAGGCUCUGUUUGGUCGGCCGGAUAUCAAAGUGCUGGAUGAUGGCUCUGUUAAUGCUAAAGAUGGUAAAACGGUAACGCUUACGUUCACGGAGCUCACACACCUUGUCCUGGAGGCGGCUGGUUUUGGGGCCUUUUUGUGGGAGGCUGAGAGCCAUGUAGAAUCCAAGUACCAUUUUGUUAACAGUUGA
RNAcentral lists this ribosomal RNA (1101 nucleotides) under Triticum aestivum (bread wheat). RNAcentral's name for it is "partial small subunit ribosomal RNA". The record is from RNAcentral. Lineage: Eukaryota; Viridiplantae; Streptophyta; Magnoliopsida; Poales; Poaceae.